GGCCGACCCUUAAAAGCCGCGUCUCGGAAGCGUUUCGCUCUUUCCCUCGGCGGUCCCCGGCUGAGUACGGGCUGGAGGCAGCUCGCUCGGAUCUCACCUGGUAUCUGUGCCUGGGCUGGGACAGAGCCUUGAGAUGCUGGAACCAUUCAGACAUGAGCCUGGCAUUGUUCACUCGGUUUCCCCACAGGGUGAGGAGCUGGUGCCUCUGUCCUGGAGACUGCGGCGGAGUCCGGCAGGGCCGGUCUGCAGGCGCCCUUCAGAACCCGGACAGUUGCUGAGAUCUCUCGCCUGCUGGAUGGAAUGAAGUGGGCACACAGCAGCUGUUGUGCAAGGAAUCUCUUGCUAAGUGGAAGAGGCUGAUGCUGCCAAGGGGAACUAAUGGACUGGCCAGUCAGUUUUGCCACCUAGCGGAACAUGAUGGUGUCUCCCAAGGGGCUGGAACUCGGGAAAGACCCAUGGAUGGGCAAAAUGCAAGUGGAACAGAGCUGAGAAACUUGAGCUGGGACUGGACUGUCCCCUUCAACUUUCAGACCCUCUUAAAAGCAGUGUUUCUGCUUCCUACAGAGAACAUUGUCCUGCAUAGGGAAGAGGAGUUUUCUUACCUCCGUCUGUCUGUCCUUAGGCUGCAAGCUCUGCAGGGCAGGGCCCAUCCCUUCUCGUGCGUAUGAAAAUCGCCUAGCGCUACUCUCACAUCAUGGGAAAUUGUUUACAGGUUCAACUGCAUCUGUAUAAGUACACAACACAAGGACUGUCCUUUCCAGAGCUUGUGUUCUUAGUAAAAACUCACCUGUGUAGGGAAUCUGGAAAUAAAACAUCAGGAAAUAAUAAAUGCAGCAAAGAAA
Molecule: long non-coding RNA, 842 nt
Organism: Mauremys mutica (yellowpond turtle)
Lineage: Eukaryota; Metazoa; Chordata; Testudines; Geoemydidae
Exons: 6
Source: RefSeq, a predicted model, not a curated record